Molecule: ribosomal RNA, 490 nt
Filed under: uncultured bacterium
Lineage: Bacteria
Description: bacterial SSU rRNA
Rfam family: Bacterial small subunit ribosomal RNA
Source: RNAcentral
AUUGAACGCUGGCGGCAUGCCUAACACAUGCAAGUCGAACGGUAGCGCAAGAAGCUUGCUUCUUGGCGACGAGUGGCGGACGGGUGAGUAAUGCUUGGGAAUCUGCCCAGUAGUGGGGGACAACUCGAGGAAACUCGAGCUAAUACCGCAUACGCCCUACGGGGGAAAGCGGGGGACUCUUCGGAACCUCGCGCUAUUGGAUGAGCCCAAGUCGGAUUAGCUUGUUGGUGGGGUAACGGCCUACCAAGGCAACGAUCCGUAGCUGGUCUGAGAGGACGAUCAGCCACACUGGGACUGAGACACGGCCCAGACUCCUACGGGAGGCAGCAGUGGGGAAUAUUGGACAAUGGGCGCAAGCCUGAUCCAGCAAUGCCGCGUGUGUGAAGAAGGCCUGCGGGUUGUAAAGCACUUUCAGUAGAGAAGAAAAGCCUAGGGUUAAUAACCCUGAGUCUUGACGUAACCUACAGAAGAAGCACCGGCUAACUCCGUG